RNAcentral lists this ribosomal RNA (800 nucleotides) under Erysiphe sp. RNAcentral describes it as "eukaryotic LSU rRNA". It matches the Rfam family "Eukaryotic large subunit ribosomal RNA", at positions 151 to 966 of the family's 3401-position model. The record is from RNAcentral. Lineage: Eukaryota; Fungi; Ascomycota; Leotiomycetes; Helotiales; Erysiphaceae.
GUAGAAGAUGCUUUGGGUUGUGGGCUCGGCCUAAGUUCCUUGGAACAGGACGUCAUAGAGGGUGAGAAUCCCGUAUGUGGCCAUGGCCCGCGCCUAUGUAAAGCUCUUUCGACGAGUCGAGUUGUUUGGGAAUGCAGCUCAAAAUGGGUGGUAAAUUUCAUCUAAAGCUAAAUAUGGGCCAGAGACCGAUAGCGCACAAGUAGAGUGAUCGAAAGAUGAAAAGCACUUUGGAAAGAGAGUUAAACAGUACGUGAAAUUGUUGAAAGGGAAGCGCUUGCAACCAGACUUGGGCGCUGCCGAUCACCCCGAGUUCUCUCGGGUGCACUCGACAGCGCACAGGCCAGCAUCGGUUCGGGUGGCUGGAUAAAGGCCGUAGGAAUGUAGCUCUCUUCGGAGAGUGUUAUAGCCCACGGUGCCAUGCAGCCCAGCCGGACCGAGGACCGCGCCUUCGGGCUAGGAUGCUGGCGUAAUGGUUGUAAGCGACCCGUCUUGAAACACGGACCAAGGAGUCUAACAUCUAUGCGAGUGUUUGGGCGUUAAACCCAUACGCGGAAUGAAAGUGAACGUAGGUGAGAUCCCCUUUGGGGCGCAUCAUCGACCGAUCCUGAUGUCUUCGGAUGGAUUUGAGUAAGAGCAUAGCUGUUGGGACCCGAAAGAUGGUGAACUAUGCCUGAAUAGGGUGAAGCCAGAGGAAACUCUGGUGGAGGCUCGCAGCGGUUCUGACGUGCAAAUCGAUCGUCAAAUUUGGGCAUAGGGGCGAAAGACUAAUCGAACCAUCUAGUAGCUGGUUCCUGCCGAAG